Molecule: non-coding RNA, 73 nt
Organism: Fragilaria crotonensis
Lineage: Eukaryota; Bacillariophyta; Fragilariophyceae; Fragilariales; Fragilariaceae
Source: the annotation of a GenBank genome assembly
GGGGGUAUAGCUCAGUUGGCAGAGCAUUGGAUUCCAGUCCCAAAGGUCAUCGGUUCAAAUCCGGUUGCCCUCA